CCUACGGGAGGCAGCAGUGAGGAAUAUUGGUCAAUGGACGAGAGUCUGAACCAGCCAAGUAGCGUGAAGGAUGACUGCCCUAUGGGUUGUAAACUUCUUUUGUCAAGGGACAAAAUCAGGCUCGAGAGCCUGACCGAGGGUACUUGAAGAAAAAGCAUCGGCUAACUCCGUGCCAGCAGCCGCGGUAAUACGGAGGAUGCGAGCGUUAUCCGGAUUUAUUGGGUUUAAAGGGUGCGUAGGCGGGCUGUUAAGUCAGCGGUAAAAGCCCGGGGCUCAACCCCGGCGAGCCGUUGAAACUGGCUGUAUUGAGAUGUCGAGAGGUAUGCGGAAUGCGCAGUGUAGCGGUGAAAUGCUUAGAUAUUGCGCAGAACUCCGAUUGCGAAGGCAGCAUACCGGCGGCGAUCUGACGCUGAGGCACGAAAGCGUGGGUAUCGAACAGGAUUAGAUACCCCGGUAGUC
RNAcentral lists this ribosomal RNA (459 nucleotides) under uncultured bacterium. Its description in RNAcentral is "partial 16S ribosomal RNA". It matches the Rfam family "Bacterial small subunit ribosomal RNA", at positions 338 to 795 of the family's 1533-position model. The record is from RNAcentral.